AGUGAACGCUGGCGGCAGGCCUAACACAUGCAAGUCGAACGGCAGCACAGAGGAGCUUGCUCCUUGGGUGGCGAGUGGCGGACGGGUGAGGAAUACAUCGGAAUCUGCCUUAUCGUGGGGGAUAACGUAGGGAAACUUACGCUAAUACCGCAUACGACCUACGGGUGAAAGCGGAGGACCUUCGGGCUUCGCGCGAUAAGAUGAGCCGAUGUCGGACUAGCUAGUUGGCGGGGUAAAGGCCCACCAAGGCGACGAUCCGUAGCUGGUCUGAGAGGAUGAUCAGCCACACUGGAACUGAGACACGGUCCAGACUCCUACGGGAGGCAGCAGUGGGGAAUCUUGCGCAAUGGAACGAAAGUCUGACGCAGCGACGCCGCGUGAGUGAUGAAGGCCC
This 394-nucleotide ribosomal RNA is filed under the name uncultured bacterium. RNAcentral describes it as "bacterial SSU rRNA". It matches the Rfam family "Bacterial small subunit ribosomal RNA", at positions 29 to 417 of the family's 1533-position model. The record is from RNAcentral.